Molecule: long non-coding RNA, 1903 nt
Organism: Gavialis gangeticus (Gharial)
Lineage: Eukaryota; Metazoa; Chordata; Crocodylia; Gavialidae
Exons: 2
Source: RefSeq, a predicted model, not a curated record
GCUGAGGUUACUGAACAGGAAAGAUAAACUGUCUAAACAUACGUUGUCAUAUUUAGUUUAAAUAGGCUGAAAAACCAACUAAGUUAAAAUGGAGCAAACUCCUAUAUGGUUUAAAACUGACUUACAAUGGUGCAAAUUGAAUGGAUAAAUCAGUUUUAAAACAAUACAGGGGUGUCCAUGCAGGGAUUUUAACUGGUAAGUGUCAACAGAUAAUUGUACCAGUUUAAUAUAAUACCAGUAUGUUUUAAAUAAUAGUAACUAACCUUAGUUAAAGAUGUGCAACUAAGCAGGUAUGCAAAUAUUUGCCUUUCUUAUCUCUCUGACCAUCUAUGCUAUAUAAACAGUGCCAAUCACCAUGCUAAUUGGGUGCUAGUACUCCUCCCCCAAGUAAACAAAAGGAUUAACCUGGCAUGAAAAGAGACCAUAGCUGUCCAGACUAGUUUUGAAGUAUCUGUGAGAGCACUGCUGAGUUCCCAGUUCAAUCUUAAAUGUUACUGCCAUACUGUGGGAAUUGGAUUAGCCUGGGGAGGGCUAAAUACAUCUUUUUGGUGGUGGGGUUUGCCUGGAGACAGGUUUAUGAGUCCUGGGAUAUAGCUCAGACCAGUUUUUGCACCACUUGGCAUGUGGGCACUAUUAUUCCACCCUAUGUCUGUACUACGAUUGGCAGUUGUGAUGGUAGUAUGUGUUGUCCUAACCUUGCUGUGGUAUUGAUAGUGGUGAGGUUGCUGCUGUACCAGCCUGCUUGAGGUGCUGCAUAUGUACUUGGAAAGCCUACACUGAAACCUGUAGACACAGAGGCUACACCUGUACCCCCAGUUACUGUGGAGACCUACUAGAUAAGUACCUGACAGGCCAAGCAUACUAAGAGUCUACACCAGGCUAGUGUAAAAAAGCUCUUACCUAUUUCAGUUCAUAUCCUAUCUUAUUUUGCAGUAACUCUCCUGUGUAGCCCUGUCAAGAAAGGGAGAGAGAAACCUCUCCAUUGGUAAGGGCAGAAUUAGCUUUCCAGUGUAACUGUUUUGGAUGCCAUUUUACACUGUACCAACUUCCUUAAUUUUGUUAUGUUUGUUCUCUUACUAGAGAACUUAAGGGGAAAAUCUGAAGUCAACUGUACCUUGAGGGCAAGUUAAGAAAAAAGUCAUAUCCUAUUCUUGUAAAAGGUGAGCCAGAAAUUUCUAGGUUAAGAGGUUUUUCAAAUUGGUUUUAUUCAGUUGAUUUCAUUCGAUACUGGCUCCCCUAAAGAAUUUUGUAUGGUGCAAUGGGUUCAAAAGCCACCCAGAGCUCCAUGUUAAGCAAGUGGACUUAAAAAAAAAGAGUUGGUCCUCUCAAUGCUAGGCAUGUUUAAGUGCAUGGUUUUGUGCAUAGGGGUGAAUUUCACCUCCUAAAAAGAGGUGCCUAUUUAAUAUACACAAUAUCCAAACUGAUCAGGGGAUCCCUGCAAAAUAUAAAUAUAACUUUGGGCUGUUGGUUAAAUGUUGUUUUCUGACUCAGCAACUUUCUGUUUUCUUCUUUGUCACAGAUUUGUUAUGCAACUUUGGGCAAGUUACUGAAAUUCUCUGUGGCUCUGCCUUGCUUUCCUUGUAAAAUUGGAGCACUUUGGAGGAAAUGUGCUGUAGAAAUGCAAGGCACUACCUGCUCCCUGCACAACCAUGCAUAGGAAUACCCUGAUUUCCAGGAGACUGAUCUCAAUUUCUGGCUUUGUCAUAACUUCUUACAUAUCAGUCUCAAUAAAGGUCAAUCUCUCUGCCACAGUUGCUUAUCUGUAAACCAGAGACAAUGCUUCCAGUCUCUAUCUGGUCUGUUUAGACUUAAUUUUGAUUGGGGCCUGUAUAUGCUACUGGAGAAUAAAUAAUUAUCAUUCAGAAGCAAAUGUUCCUGAGUCCAUGUUAACAGCAGUUGCUGU